AGUGGAGUGAAACAGAUCUAAACACUAUCUCGAUUUCAACGGCACAUCAAAAUCGUCGUCGACUUUGCAGGCGACGACCAAAACCCCAGCUCGCUACGAUCGCCGGAUCUCGCUCUAACCGCCAUGGCAUUCUCCACCCGCCGCGGCGCCGGCGGAUGGGCGCAGUCUCUCCUCCCCAGCGCCGCCACAAAAUCCCCAUCCAAGCAGCCGCGGAAGUCGCGGAGGCGCACCACCGCCGCCUUCCGCGAUUUCAUCUUCGCCAAUUUCUUCACAGUCGGACUCGGCGUCACCGUCUUCUUCUUCCUCUUCGUCCUAUUCCGAUUCGCCGCCGUCCCCGGGCCGAUACAGUUUCGAUCGGCGACUUCGCGCGGGCGGGCUGCCCGGCCUCGGAAGCCGGUCGUGCAUAAGUCGCCGAAUAGGACUAUUUUGGCGGCGGAUGUGGAUAUCACUACUAAGGAUCUGUAUGAUAAGAUCCAGUUUCUGGAUGAGGACGGUGGGCCGUGGAAGCAGGGGUGGCGCGUGAGUUACAAGGGUCAUGAGUGGGAUGAUGAGAAUUGAAGGUGUUUGUGGUACCGCAUUCGCAUAAUGAUCCUGGAUGGAAGCUCACUGUUGAAGAAUAUUACGAUAAGCAGUCCAGACAUAUUCUCGACACUAUUGUGGAAACACUUUCCAAGGAUGCUCGGAGAAAGUUUAUAUGGGAAGAGAUGUCUUAUUUAGAGAGGUGGUGGAGGGAUGCUUCAGAAGCGAAAAGAGAAUCCUUCACCAAUUUAGUCCAGAAUGGUCAGCUGGAAAUUGUUGCAGGUGGAUGGGUUAUGAAUGACGAGGCUAAUUCACAUUUUUUUGCUAUCAUUGAACAGAUGACAGAGGGA
Long non-coding RNA from Salvia splendens (bonfire salvia), 869 nucleotides. RefSeq lists it as uncharacterized. Lineage: Eukaryota; Viridiplantae; Streptophyta; Magnoliopsida; Lamiales; Lamiaceae. The transcript has 4 exons. The record is from RefSeq and is a predicted model, not a curated record.